AGCAGUCGCCACGGUAAUACGUAGGGUGCGAGCGUUAAUCGGAAUUACUGGGCGUAAAGCGUGCGCAGGCGGUUCGUUAAGACAGAUGUGAAAUCCCCGGGCUUAACCUGGGAACUGCAUUUGUGACUGGCGAGCUAGAGUAUGGCAGAGGGGGUAGAAUUCCACGUGUAGCAGUGAAAUGCGUAGAGAUGUGGAGGAAUACCGAUGGCGAAGGCAGCCCCCUGGGCCAAUACUGACGCUCAUGCACGAAAGCGUGGGGAGCAAACAGGAUUAGAUACCCCUGUAGUCCCUGUCUCUUAUACC
This 303-nucleotide ribosomal RNA is filed under the name uncultured bacterium. RNAcentral's name for it is "partial 16S ribosomal RNA". It matches the Rfam family "Bacterial small subunit ribosomal RNA", at positions 507 to 808 of the family's 1533-position model. The record is from RNAcentral.